This 464-nucleotide ribosomal RNA is filed under the name uncultured bacterium. RNAcentral's name for it is "bacterial SSU rRNA". It matches the Rfam family "Bacterial small subunit ribosomal RNA", at positions 338 to 795 of the family's 1533-position model. The record is from RNAcentral.
CCUACGGGGUGCAGCAGUAGGGAAUCUUCGGCAAUGGACGAAAGUCUGACCGAGCAACGCCGCGUGAGUGAAGAAGGUUUUCGGAUCGUAAAACUCUGUUGCUAGAGAAGAACAAGGACGUUAGUAACUGAACGUCCCCUGACGGUAUCUAACCAGAAAGCCACGGCUAGCUACGUGCCAGCAGCCGCGGUAAUACGUAGGUGGCAAGCGUUGUCCGGAUUUAUUGGGCGUAAAGCGAGCGCAGGCGGUUUCUUAAGUCUGAUGUGAAAGCCCCGGCUCAACCGGGGAGGGUCAUUGGAAACUGGGAGACUUGAGUGCAGAAGAGGAGAGUGGAAUUCCAUGUGUAGCGGUGAAAUGCGUAGAUAUAUGGAGGAACACCAGUGGCGAAGGCGGCCCUCUGGUCUGUAACUGACGCUGAGGCUCGAAAGCGUGGGGAGCAAACAGGAUUAGAUACCCGCGUAGUC